AUUCCACAAGGAGAAGGUAGGAACACUAAAAGAAACUACAAAACUAAAAGAAAAUAUCAAAGCAGUAAAAUGUGAUGUGAAUGUUUAAAAGUAAAUUGACAAUUAGAUUGUAGUAGUGAAAAGAUGUGACCAGAAUUAAUGGCAGCAAAGCAUGGGAAUUCCUCACUUGAAUCAGGUAAUUCCAUUCAUAUUUGAUCCAUUGGAUAACUCAAUUAGAGAUCAUAGCACUAGAUUCUCUAAUCGGAAGAUAUAGCAUUACAAUCAAAAUAUUUAGUGGUAAUUCUAGAAAAUCAUUCUUCUCUUUUAAAACCAAGGAUU
This 318-nucleotide long non-coding RNA is filed under the name Phoenix dactylifera (date palm). Its description in RNAcentral is "long non-coding RNA (PDAC_LNC006325)". Lineage: Eukaryota; Viridiplantae; Streptophyta; Magnoliopsida; Arecales; Arecaceae. The record is from RNAcentral.